GAGGGAAUCUUCGGCAAUGGGGGCAACCCUGACCGAGCAACGCCGCGUGAGUGAAGAAGGUUUUCGGAUCGUAAAGCUCUGUUGUAAGAGAAGAACGUGUGUGAGAGUGGAAAGUUCACACAGUGACGGUAACUUACCAGAAAGGGACGGCUAACUACGUGCCAGCAGCCGUGGUAAUACGUAGGUCCCGAGCGUUGUCCGGAUUUAUUGGGCGUAAAGCGAGCGCAGGCGGUUUAAUAAGUCUGAAGUUAAAGGCAGUGGCUUAACCAUUGUUCGCUUUGUAAACUGUUAAACUUGAGUGCAGAAGGGGAGAGUGGAAUUCCAUGUGUAGCGGUGAAAUGCGUAGAUAUAUGGAGGAACACCGGUGGCGAAAGCGGCUCUCUGGUCUGUAACUGACGCUGAGGCUCGAAAGCGUGGGGAGCAAACAGG
This 429-nucleotide ribosomal RNA is filed under the name bacterium. RNAcentral's name for it is "partial 16S ribosomal RNA". It matches the Rfam family "Bacterial small subunit ribosomal RNA", at positions 355 to 776 of the family's 1533-position model. The record is from RNAcentral.